GGGUUGUGAGGUUAAGCGACUAAGCGUACACGGUGGAUGCCCUGGCAGUCAGAGGCGAUGAAGGACGUGCUAAUCUGCGAUAAGCGUCGGUAAGGUGAUAUGAACCGUUAUAACCGGCGAUUUCCGAAUGGGGAAACCCAGUGUGAUUCGUCACACUAUCAUUACGUGAAUACAUAGCGUAAUGAAGCGAACCGGGGGAACUGAAACAUCUAAGUACCCCGAGGAAAAGAAAUCAACCGAGAUUCCCCCAGUAGCGGCGAGCGAACGGGGAGCAGCCCAGAGUCUGAAUCAGCAUGUGUGGUAGUGGAACGGUCUGGAAAGUCCGGCGAUACAGGGUGAUAGCCCCGUACACAAAAGUGCAUGUGUUGUGAACUCGAAGAGUAGGGCGGGACACGUGGUAUCCUGUCUGAAUAUGGGGGGACCAUCCUCCAAGGCUAAAUACUCCUGACUGACCGAUAGUGAACCAGUACCGUGAGGGAAAGGCGAAAAGAACCCCGGCGAGGGGAGUGAAAAAGAACCUGAAACCGUGUACGUACAAGCAGUGGGAGCCUCUUUAUGGGGUGACUGCGUACCUUUUGUAUAAUGGGUCAGCGACUUAUAUUCUGUAGCAAGGUUAACCGAAUAGGGGAGCCGAAGGGAAACCGAGUCUUAACUGGGCGUUAAGUUGCAGGGUAUAGACCCGAAACCCGGUGAUCUAGCCAUGGGCAGGUUGAAGGUUGGGUAACACUAACUGGAGGACCGAACCGACUAAUGUUGAAAAAUUAGCGGAUGACUUGUGGCUGGGGGUGAAAGGCCAAUCAAACCGGGAGAUAGCUGGUUCUCCCCGAAAGCUAUUUAGGUAGCGCCUCGUGAACUCAUCUUCGGGGGUAGAGCACUGUUUCGGCUAGGGGGUCAUCCCGACUUACCAACCCGAUGCAAACUGCGAAUACCGAAGAAUGUUAUCACGGGAGACACACGGCGGGUGCUAACGUCCGUCGUGAAGAGGGAAACAACCCAGACCGCCAGCUAAGGUCCCAAAGUCAUGGUUAAGUGGGAAACGAUGUGGGAAGGCACAGACAGCCAGGAUGUUGGCUUAGAAGCAGCCAUCAUUUAAAGAAAGCGUAAUAGCUCACUGGUCGAGUCGGCCUGCGCGGAAGAUGUAACGGGGCUAAACCAUGCACCGAAGCUGCGGCAGCGACACUAUGUGUUGUUGGGUAGGGGAGCGUUCUGUAAGCCGUUGAAGGUGUGCUGUGAGGCAUGCUGGAGGUAUCAGAAGUGCGAAUGCUGACAUAAGUAACGAUAAUGCGGGUGAAAAACCCGCACGCCGGAAGACCAAGGGUUCCUGUCCAACGUUAAUCGGGGCAGGGUGAGUCGACCCCUAAGGCGAGGCCGAAAGGCGUAGUCGAUGGGAAACAGGUUAAUAUUCCUGUACUUGGUGUUACUGCGAAGGGGGGACGGAGAAGGCUAUGUUAGCCGGGCGACGGUUGUCCCGGUUUAAGCAUGUAGGCGGAGAUUCCAGGUAAAUCCGGAGUCUUG
RNAcentral lists this ribosomal RNA (1515 nucleotides) under Citrobacter braakii. RNAcentral describes it as "partial 23S ribosomal RNA". It matches the Rfam family "Bacterial large subunit ribosomal RNA", at positions 1 to 1552 of the family's 2925-position model. The record is from RNAcentral. Lineage: Bacteria; Pseudomonadati; Pseudomonadota; Gammaproteobacteria; Enterobacterales; Enterobacteriaceae.